Molecule: ribosomal RNA, 428 nt
Filed under: uncultured archaeon
Lineage: Archaea
Description: bacterial SSU rRNA
Rfam family: Archaeal small subunit ribosomal RNA
Source: RNAcentral
UACCAGCUCUCCGAGUGGUAGGGAUGAUUAUUGGGCUUAAAGCGUCCGUAGCCGGCUUAGCAAGUUUCCUGUUAAACUCAGCGACCUAAUCGUUGAAUCGCGGGAAAUACUACUAGGCUAGGAGGCGGGAGAGGUUGACGGUACUUCUGGGGUAGGGGUGAAAUCCUAUAAUCCCGGGAGGACCACCAGUGGCGAAGGCUGUCGACUAGAACGCGCUCGACGGUGAGGGACGAAAGCUGGGGUAGCGAACCGGAUUAGAUACCCGGGUAGUCCCAGCUGUAAACGAUGCGGGCUAGGUGUUGGGAUGGCUACGUGCCAUUUCAGUGCCGCAGGGAAGCCAUUAAGCCCGCCGCCUGGGGAGUACGGCCGCAAGGCUGAAACUUAAGGAAUUGGCGGGGGAGCACCACAAGGCGUGAAGCUUGCGGUUC